Molecule: long non-coding RNA, 681 nt
Organism: Labrus mixtus (cuckoo wrasse)
Lineage: Eukaryota; Metazoa; Chordata; Actinopteri; Labriformes; Labridae
Exons: 2
Source: RefSeq, a predicted model, not a curated record
CAGGUCACCAUGUGGUGGACUCUGAAGCUUCAGUGUUUAUCCAGCUCUGCAUGGGUCUGUAAACCUUUCUGUGUUCUAACCUCUCUCCAUUUUUCAAAAGCAUCUCCAAUAUUGAUCCUAGUUUGAGCACGUUUCUGCUCGUGGAGCUUAUUAGAAACAUGCAGAGGCUUUUUAGGUCGGGUACAAUCACUUCUAUCUGAACCACUUCUCUUGCCCGCUUCCAUCACUGCAACACCUGUUGACCUGAUAACUGCUCUCAUAUCUGGAAAACUGAGGGGCGUCCAAAACGGGGGCCGUGUGAAGGGGUGUCUUAAAAGCGCCUACCUUCUCUGGUCCAAACAAAUCCAGAGCAUUCAGGAGCAGAAUCUAAAGUUAGAAGGAGGACAUACUGGCUGCUGCAUUGUUGUCAGAGAAGCCAGCACUUCAACAUAGCAUGUUUCCUUAAUGUCUGAUGGCAUAGUAACUUACACUAGUCAAAUUCACUGGACUUUGGGGAAAUAUAUUUCCUGGUCUCAGCCCAUGUCUCCCCUCCCUCCCGGCUGCCCUCUGUAGGAUAAUCCCCUCUUGAGUGUGCGGGACAGUGAACUCAGCGGGAGCUGGAGAAAGAGCCGUUCCAUAUCUCCUCCUCCAGCAACGCCUCUCCCCCUAACGAGGAGAGCUACUGCCUAAUGAGGGAGCUCA